This 469-nucleotide ribosomal RNA is filed under the name uncultured bacterium. RNAcentral's name for it is "bacterial SSU rRNA". It matches the Rfam family "Bacterial small subunit ribosomal RNA", at positions 8 to 462 of the family's 1533-position model. The record is from RNAcentral.
AGAGUUUGAUCCUGGCUCAGAACGAACGCUGGCGGCGUGCCUAACACAUGCAAGUCGAACGGAGAUAAGGGGCUUGCUCCUUAUUUUAGUGGCGCACGGGUGAGUAACGCGUGGAUAAUCUACCUUGGAAUCUGGGAUAACAUUUCGAAAGGGGUGCUAAUACCGGAUAAGACCACGAGCUCUUUGGAGUUUGCGGUAAAAGGGGGCCUCUGUAUAUGCUUCUGUUUCAAGAUGAGUCCGCGUACCAUUAGCUAGUUGGCAGGGUAAUGGCCUACCAAGGCGACGAUGGUUAGCUGGUCUGAGAGGAUGAUCAGCCACACUGGAACUGAGACACGGUCCAGACUCCUACGGGAGGCAGCAGUGGGGAAUUUUGCGCAAUGGGGGAAACCCUGACGCAGCAACGCCGCGUGAGUGAUGAAGGCCUUCGGGUCGUAAAGCUCUGUCAGAGGGAAAGAAGUGUAUGGCGGUU